CGCAGCCGCGGUAAUUCCAGCUCCAAUAGCGUAUAUUAAAGUUGUUGCAGUUAAAAAGCUCGUAGUUGAAUUUCGAGAUCAAUUUGUCGGUCGUGCCUCGGUACGUACUGGCAUUAUUGAUUUCUCCCUUCUGAAGAACCGCGAUGUCAUUAAUUUGGUGUCGUGGGGAAUCAGGACUGUUACUUUGAAAAAAUUGAGUGUUUAAAGCAGGCCCACGCUUGAAUACAUUAGCAUGGAAUAAUGAAAUAGGACGUUUGAUUCUAUUUUGUUGGUUUCUAGGAUCGACAUAAUGAUUAAUAGGGAUAGUUGGGGGCAUUAGUAUUCAAUUGUCAGAGGUGAAAUUCUUGGAUUUAUUGAAGACUAACUACUGCGAAAGCAUUUGCCAAGGAUGUUUUCAUUAAUCAAGAACGAGAGUUAGGGGA
This 422-nucleotide ribosomal RNA is filed under the name uncultured Glomus. Its description in RNAcentral is "SSU rRNA". It matches the Rfam family "Eukaryotic small subunit ribosomal RNA", at positions 569 to 997 of the family's 1831-position model. Lineage: Eukaryota; Fungi; Glomeromycota; Glomeromycetes; Glomerales; Glomeraceae. The record is from RNAcentral.